ACGGCGAGUGAAGAGGGAAAAGCCCAAAUUUGUAAUCUGGCUCUUUUUAUAAGGGUCCGAGUUGUAAUUUUGAGAACUGUUUUCCGUGCUGGACCAUGUACAAGUCUGUUGAAAAACAGCAUCAUUGAGGGUGAAAAUCCCGUACAUGAUAUGGACUACCAGUGCAAUGUGAUACAGUCUCUAAGAGUCGAGUUGUUUGGGAAUGCAGCUCAAAGUGGGUGGUAAAUUCCAUCUAAGGCUAAAUAUAGGUGAGAGACCGAUAGCAAACAAGUACCGUGAGGGAAAGAUGAAAAGAACUUUGGAAAGAGAGUUAACAGUACGUGAAAUUGUUAAAAGGGAAACAUUUGAAGUUAGACUUGUUAUUGUUGGUUCAACUUCUUUAUUGAGGUUUAUUCUGAUGAUUAACAGACCAGCAUCAAUUUUUUAGUGCCGGAUAAGGGUUUUGGAAAAGUAGCAGCCUUGGUUGUGUUAAAGACCAUUACUUUGAUACGGUGCUUGGGAUUGAGGAACGCAGUAAGC
RNAcentral lists this ribosomal RNA (519 nucleotides) under Melampsorella caryophyllacearum. RNAcentral describes it as "eukaryotic LSU rRNA". It matches the Rfam family "Eukaryotic large subunit ribosomal RNA", at positions 86 to 605 of the family's 3401-position model. Lineage: Eukaryota; Fungi; Basidiomycota; Pucciniomycetes; Pucciniales; Pucciniastraceae. The record is from RNAcentral.